CCUACGGGAGGCAGCAGUGAGGAAUAUUGGUCAAUGGGCGGAAGCCUGAACCAGCCAAGUAGCGUGCAGGAUGACGGCCCUAUGGUUUGUAAACUUCUUUUAUAUGGGAAUAAAGUGCGGUACGUGUUCCGUUUUGUAUGUACCGUAUGAAUAAGCAUCGGCUAACUCCGUGCCAGCAGCCGCGGUAAUACGGAGGAUGCGUGCGUUAUCCGGAUUUAUUGGGUUUAAAGGGUGCGUAGGGCGUAAGUUAAGUCAGCGGUGAAAUUUUGGGGCUCAACCCGAUCCUUGCCGUUGAAACUGGUUGUCUUGAGUACGCGGGAGGUAGGCGGAAUGCGUGGUGUAGCGGUGAAAUGCAUAGAUAUCACGAAGAACUCCGAUUGCGAAGGCAGCUUACUGCAGCAGAACUGACGCUGAUGCACGAAAGCGUGGGUAUCGAACAGGAUUAGAUACCCUUGUAGUC
RNAcentral lists this ribosomal RNA (460 nucleotides) under uncultured bacterium. Its description in RNAcentral is "partial 16S ribosomal RNA". It matches the Rfam family "Bacterial small subunit ribosomal RNA", at positions 338 to 795 of the family's 1533-position model. The record is from RNAcentral.